GCCCAGGUGGUGAAAUAGGUAGACACAAGGGACUUAAAAUCCCUCGGCUUCGGCCAUGCGGGUUCGACUCCCGCCCCGGGCACCA
This 85-nucleotide transfer RNA is filed under the name Lentisphaerota bacterium. RNAcentral describes it as "Lentisphaerae bacterium (anaerobic digester metagenome) tRNA-Leu". It matches the Rfam family "tRNA". From Rfam's summary of the family: Transfer RNA (tRNA) molecules are approximately 80 nucleotides in length. Their secondary structure includes four short double-helical elements and three loops (D, anti-codon, and T loops). Further hydrogen bonds mediate the characteristic L-shaped molecular structure. tRNAs have two regions of fundamental functional importance: the anti-codon, which is responsible for specific mRNA codon recognition, and the 3' end, to which the tRNAs corresponding amino acid is attached (by aminoacyl-tRNA synthetases). tRNAs cope with the degeneracy of the genetic code in two manners: having more than one tRNA (with a specific anti-codon) for a particular amino acid; and 'wobble' base-pairing, i.e. permitting non-standard base-pairing at the 3rd anti-codon position. The record is from RNAcentral. Lineage: Bacteria; Pseudomonadati; Lentisphaerota.